Molecule: long non-coding RNA, 1173 nt
Organism: Aricia agestis (brown argus)
Lineage: Eukaryota; Metazoa; Arthropoda; Insecta; Lepidoptera; Lycaenidae
Exons: 3
Source: RefSeq, a predicted model, not a curated record
AAAAGUGACUAAAAAUUUUCUUUUUAAAUUGGUUGAAUGAGUCGUGAAAAAUGUCUAUGUCAGCUAAAUCAUUAUUAACAAUAUUAUAUUCGUUACUCAUUCUAAGGAUUGGUGCGUUAAGACCUAGAUUAGUUUUGCAAGGAGGACCGCGUAGGAUCUUACUUAUCGGUCGUCGAGGCAGGUGAUACGGUACAAACACUGAAAAAUAUUCUAAAAGUUCGCAGCAACCUAUAUGGCCAUUUACUAUUUUGUGAAGUAAUAGAAUACCAUGCACUAUUCUUCUAGUCCUAAGGCAAGCCAUAUCAAAGAAGGCAAGGCGAUAAGAAUAAGGGGCCCUAUGUGAAAUGCCGCUGCAAGUAAAGGCCAGGUGUCUAGUAAAAGACCUUUGUAUCCCCUCAAUUCUUUGCGAAAGAAUAGUGGUUUUAGGGUUCCAAACAGUACUAGCAUAUUCAAGAUGGCUUCUUACUAAUGUGUUGUAUAGACAAAUUUUUGUGCUUAUAGAAAACCCCUUGCUGUUGCGCUUUACAAAUCCUAGAGCUUGCGACGCCUUUUUGACGACAUUGUCGACGUGAGUGUUAAAACUGAGAUAUGAAGCAAACCAGGUGAGAAGUGUACCAAAUAUACCACACGCCUCUAAUUUAGACAACAGCAAGACGUGAUCUACCUUAUCAAACGCUGAGGAAAAGUCGGUAUAAAUAGCAUCGACCUGUGAGCCUGAAUCAACUACACUAGCGAUGUGUGAAGUAUAAGCGAGGAGAUUGGUCUCAGUUGAUCGGUUUUUCCUAAAACCAUGUUGGAAGUCAUUAAGAAUGGGUUCGAUGUGAAGUGAAAACGUUUGAUAAAUUAUGCAUUCAAAGAGCUUGGAGAAACACGGGAAUCGGUCGCUGCGCGAGAUCAGUACUAGGGACGUACACAGAGGAAAAAUGAGAUGCGAAUAAAUUAGCAAUUUCGGGACCAGAGUUAGCGCAUUUUUGACCGAGAAACAUUUGAGCAGGUAUAUUCGAUUUACCCUUCCUUUUGGCCUUAACAUAGCUCCAGAAGGCCUUUGGAUUGUUUUGUAUGUUAAGAUCUAAUUUGUACUUGUAAUCCAUGUAACAUUUGUUUAAAAGUUUAUGACAACGGUUUCUUAUAAUGUCAAAUUCAAUCUUAUCUCUGGGAUUGUUGUAUCUUAAG